AUAAAGAUAAACUAUAUAUUAAGUUAUAGGACUCAUACUCCUAUUAAGAGUGAAAACUCUCUUUAGA
This is a non-coding RNA of Ciona intestinalis (vase tunicate), 67 nucleotides long. NCBI's taxonomy places the organism in Eukaryota, Metazoa, Chordata, Ascidiacea, Phlebobranchia, Cionidae. The record is from the annotation of a RefSeq genome assembly.